AUUGAACGCUGGCGGCAGGCCUAACACAUGCAAGUCGAGCGGAUGAAGGGAGCUUGCUCCUGGAUUCAGCGGCGGACGGGUGAGUAAUGCCUAGGAAUCUGCCUGGUAGUGGGGGAUAACGUCCGGAAACGGGCGCUAAUACCGCAUACGUCCUGAGGGAGAAAGUGGGGGAUCUUCGGACCUCACGCUAUCAGAUGAGCCUAGGUCGGAUUAGCUAGUUGGUGGGGUAAAGGCCUACCAAGGCGACGAUCCGUAACUGGUCUGAGAGGAUGAUCAGUCACACGGGAACGGAAACACGGACCAGACUCCUAGGGGAGCCAGCAGGGGGAAAUAUUGAAAAUGGGGCAAAACCCUGACCCAGCCAUGCCGGGUGUGUAAAGAAGGUUUUGGAAUGUAAAACCAUUUUAAGUUGGGAGAAAGGGAAGUAAUUAAAUACCUUGCUGUUUGGACUUUCCAAACAAAAAAGGCCCCGCCUAACUUCGCC
RNAcentral lists this ribosomal RNA (484 nucleotides) under uncultured bacterium. Its description in RNAcentral is "partial 16S ribosomal RNA". It matches the Rfam family "Bacterial small subunit ribosomal RNA", at positions 30 to 507 of the family's 1533-position model. The record is from RNAcentral.